UACAUAGGGUGCUAGCGUUGCUCGGAAUUACUGGGCGUAAAGGAUGUGUAGGAGGAUUUGAAAGUCAAUUGUGAAAUCCCUGGGCUCAACCCAGGAACUGCAAUUGAUACUCCAAAUCUAGAGUGAGGUAGAGGAUAGCGGAAUUCUUAGUGUAGGGGUAAAAUCCGUAGAUACUAAGAGGAACACCGAAGGCGAAGGCAGCUAUCUGGGCCUUUACUGACUUUGAAACAUGAAAGCGUGGGGAGCAAACAGG
RNAcentral lists this ribosomal RNA (253 nucleotides) under uncultured bacterium. RNAcentral's name for it is "partial 16S ribosomal RNA". It matches the Rfam family "Bacterial small subunit ribosomal RNA", at positions 524 to 776 of the family's 1533-position model. The record is from RNAcentral.